UACGUAGGGGGCAAGCGUUGUCCGGAAUCAUUGGGCGUAAAGGGCGCGUAGGCGGCUAGAUGUGUCAAAGGUGAAAUCCCUCGGCUCAACUGAGGAACUGCCUUUGAAACUGUCUGGCUUGAGGCCGGGAGAGGGUAGCGGAAUUCCCAGUGUAGCGGUGAAAUGCGUAGAUAUUGGGAGGAACACCAGUGGCGAAGGCGGCUACCUGGACCGGUUCUGACGCUGAGGCGCGAAAGCGUGGGUAGCAAACAGG
This 253-nucleotide ribosomal RNA is filed under the name uncultured bacterium. RNAcentral's name for it is "partial 16S ribosomal RNA". It matches the Rfam family "Bacterial small subunit ribosomal RNA", at positions 524 to 776 of the family's 1533-position model. The record is from RNAcentral.